RNAcentral lists this ribosomal RNA (434 nucleotides) under uncultured bacterium. Its description in RNAcentral is "bacterial SSU rRNA". It matches the Rfam family "Bacterial small subunit ribosomal RNA", at positions 958 to 1392 of the family's 1533-position model. The record is from RNAcentral.
UACGCGAGGAACCUUACCCGGGCUCGAACGGUGCCUGAAUUCAGCAGAGAUGUUGGAGCUAGCAAUAGCAGGUAUCGAGGUGCUGCAUGGGCGCGGUGAAUACGUUCCCUGGGGUCUCGGCUUAAGUGCCGUAACGAGCGCAACCCUUAUCUUCAGUUACCAUCAGGUAUUGCUGGGGACUCUGGAGAUACUGCCACCGUAAGGUGAGAGGAAGGUGGGGAUGACGUCAAAUCAGCACGGCCCUUACGUCCGGGGCGACACACGUGUUACAAUGGUCGGUACAGAGGGGAGCUACACUGUGAAGUGAUGCGAAUCUCGAAAGCCGAUCUCAGUUCGGAUUGGAGUCUGCAACUCGACUCCAUGAAGUUGGAUUCGCUAGUAAUCGCGCAUCAGCCAUGGCGCGGUGAAUACGUUCCCGGGUCUUGUACACACCG